GGGGCGCGAGGGUGUGCAGAAGCACCCUCUUCUCCUGAAAAUUUCAUGUAUACCUCACUUGCUCUUUAUUCGCACCCCCUACCUUAGUUCUAGGUCGAUGUGGAAGCAGAAAUGAUGGCGAGCUCUCAGAUGACCUGCAUCCCGAUGAGGCCUUCGGCGGAGUUUUCUAGAUCUAAGAAAAUGUGCAUGCACUGCCUCAUCGAGGAGGAGGGCAUCAUGCUGAUGCCAGCGAUCUUCGACGCCCUCUUCACCGGCAUCCUAUAAAGCUCUAGAUUCAAGGCUGGAUUUGUCUCCGAAUAUGUCAUCUCCGCUUCCUGCCUCGGCUUUUGGAGAUGGCCGAUGUUGCUCGAGCGAUUUCCGCAGCGGCUUCUAAUGUUGCGUUCAUUGUUGAUGCUGGUAAUCAACUUUUCACCUCACUUUGUCUGCAUUUUGAACCCCUUUUGUAAUGGAUAAAGUAAAUAUGAUAGAUCUAUGGUAAAGAACAA
Molecule: long non-coding RNA, 485 nt
Organism: Zingiber officinale
Lineage: Eukaryota; Viridiplantae; Streptophyta; Magnoliopsida; Zingiberales; Zingiberaceae
Exons: 2
Source: RefSeq, a predicted model, not a curated record